AUUGAACGCUGGCGGCAGGCCUAACACAUGCAAGUCGAACGCGUGUAGGACGGGUGAGUAAUGUCUGGGAAACUGCCUGAUGGAGGGGGAUAACUACUGGAAACGGUAGCUAAUAUCGCAUACCAUCGGGUGUGCCCACAUGGGAUUAGCUAGUAGGUGGGGUAAAGGCUCACCAAGGAGACGAUCUCUAGCUGGUCUGAGAGGAUGAUCAGGCACACUGGAACUGAGAAACGGUCCAGACGCCUACGGGAGGCAGCAGUGGGGAAUAUUGGACAAUGGGGGAAAGCCUGAUGCAGCCAUGCCGCGUGAGUGAAGAAGGUCUUCGGAUUGUAAAGCACUUUAAGUAGGGAGGCGUUACCAACAGAAUAAGCACAGGCUAACUUCGUGCCAGCAGCCGCGGUAAUUC
Molecule: ribosomal RNA, 406 nt
Filed under: uncultured bacterium
Lineage: Bacteria
Description: partial 16S ribosomal RNA
Rfam family: Bacterial small subunit ribosomal RNA
Source: RNAcentral